UACGGGGGGAGCAAGCGUUGUCCGGAAUUACUGGGCGUAAAGGGCGUGUAGGCGGUUUAAUAAGUCAGAUGUAAAAGCCCCCGGCUCAACCGGGGAUGGUCAUUUGAAACUGUUAGGCUUGAGUGUGAGAGAGGGUAGUGGAAUUCCCAGUGUAGCGGUGAAAUGCGUAGAUAUUGGGAAGAACACCAGUAGCGAAGGCGGCUACCUGGCUCACAACUGACGCUAAGGCGCGAAAGCGUGGGGAGCAAACAGG
RNAcentral lists this ribosomal RNA (253 nucleotides) under uncultured bacterium. RNAcentral describes it as "partial 16S ribosomal RNA". It matches the Rfam family "Bacterial small subunit ribosomal RNA", at positions 524 to 776 of the family's 1533-position model. The record is from RNAcentral.